This 404-nucleotide unclassified non-coding RNA is filed under the name soil metagenome. RNAcentral's name for it is "partial contains 5.8S ribosomal RNA, internal transcribed spacer 2, and large subunit ribosomal RNA". The stretch from base 1 to 122 matches the Rfam family "5.8S ribosomal RNA", at positions 35 to 154 of the family's 154-position model. The record is from RNAcentral.
GAUGAAGAACGUAGCAAAAUGCGAUACUUGGUGUGAAUUGCAGAAUCCCGUGAACCAUCGAGUUUUUGAACGCAAGUUGCGCCCGAAGCCUUUUGGCCGAGGGCACGUCUGCCUGGGCGUCACGCAUCGCGUCGCCCCCCACAAUUCUCCGUAAAGGGAACAUGUGUUUUGGGGGCGGAUAUUGGUCUCCCGUGCUCAUGGCGUGGUUGGCCGAAAUAGGAGUCCUUUCGAUGGACGCACGAACUAGUGGUGGUCGUAAAAACCCUCGUCUUUUGUUUCGUGCUGUUGCUCGCAAGGUAAACUCUUUAAAAACCCCAAUGUGUCGUCUAUUGACGACGCUUCGACCGCGACCCCAGGUCAGGCGGGACUACCCGCUGAGUUUAAGCAUAUCAAUAAGCGGAGGA